This 437-nucleotide ribosomal RNA is filed under the name uncultured bacterium. Its description in RNAcentral is "partial 16S ribosomal RNA". It matches the Rfam family "Bacterial small subunit ribosomal RNA", at positions 29 to 507 of the family's 1533-position model. The record is from RNAcentral.
AGCGAACGCUGGCGGCAGGCUUAACACAUGCAAGUCGAGCGGGCCCCUUUCGGGGUGUCAGCGGCGGACGGGUGAGUAACGCGUGGGAACGUGCCCUCUGGUUCGGAAUAACUCAGGGAAACUUGAGCUAAUACCGGAUACGCCCUUUUGGGGAAAGGCUUGCUGCCGGUGGAUCGGCCCGCGUCUGAUUAGCUAGUUGGUGAGGUAACGGCUCACCAAGGCGACGAUCAGUAGCUGGUCUGAGAGGAUGAUCAGCCACACUGGGACUGAGACACGGCCCAGACUCCUACGGGAGGCAGCAGUGGGGAAUAUUGGACAAUGGGCGCAAGCCUGAUCCAGCAAUGCCGCGUGAGUGAUGAAGGCCUUAGGGUUGUAAAGCUCUUUUAUCCGGGACGAUAAUGACGGUACCGGAGGAAUAAGCCCCGGCUAACUUCGUG